CCAGACUCCUACGGGAGGCAGCAGUGAGGAAUAUUGGUCAAUGGGCGGGAGCCUGAACCAGCCAAGCCGCGUGAGGGAAGAAGGUACCGCGUAUCGUAAACCUCUUUUGUCAGGGAACAAAGGCGGGGACUAGUCCCCGGAUGACGGUACCUGAAGAAGAAGCACCGGCUAAAUACGUGCCAGCAGCCGCGGUAAUACGUAUGGUGCAAGCGUUAUCCGGAUUUACUGGGCGUAAAGGGAGCGCAGGCGGCGCGCCAAGUCUGAUGUGAAACCCCGGGGCUCAACCCCGGGCAUGCAUUGGAAACUGGCGGGCUGGAGUGCCGGAGAGGUAAGCGGAAUUCCUAGUGUAGCGGUGAAAUGCGUAGAUAUUAGGAGGAACACCAGUGGCGAAGGCGGCUUACUGGACGGCAACUGACGCUGAGGCUCGAAAGCGUGGGGAGCAAACAGGAUUAGAUACCCCUGUAAUU
This 467-nucleotide ribosomal RNA is filed under the name uncultured bacterium. RNAcentral's name for it is "partial 16S ribosomal RNA". It matches the Rfam family "Bacterial small subunit ribosomal RNA", at positions 331 to 795 of the family's 1533-position model. The record is from RNAcentral.